UACGUAGGGUGCAAGCGUUAAUCGGAAUUACUGGGCGUAAAGCGUGCGUAGUCGGUUACUCAAGUCGGAUGUGAAAUCCCCGGGCUCAACCUGGGAAUUGCAUUCGAAACUGAAUAGCUAGAGUUCGGCAGAGGGAAGUGGAAUUUCCGGUGUAGCGGUGAAAUGCGUAGAUAUCGGAAGGAACAUCAGUGGCGAAAGCGACUUCCUGGACCAGAACUGACGAUCAGGCACGAAAGCGUGGGGAGCAAACAGG
Molecule: ribosomal RNA, 253 nt
Filed under: uncultured bacterium
Lineage: Bacteria
Description: partial 16S ribosomal RNA
Rfam family: Bacterial small subunit ribosomal RNA
Source: RNAcentral